CGGCAGUGGUACACCUGGUUACAUCCCGAACCCAGUCGUUAAGGCUGCCAGCGCCGAUGGUACUUGGAGGGCGACCUCCCGGGAGAGUAGGUCAUUGCCAAUU
Molecule: ribosomal RNA, 103 nt
Filed under: Chloroflexota bacterium
Lineage: Bacteria; Bacillati; Chloroflexota
Source: RNAcentral